This is an RNA transcript of Psammomys obesus (fat sand rat), 3394 nucleotides long. It is a transcript of the gene named peptidylprolyl isomerase domain and WD repeat containing 1, with no coding region annotated. The transcript has 12 exons. NCBI's taxonomy places the organism in Eukaryota, Metazoa, Chordata, Mammalia, Rodentia, Muridae. The record is from RefSeq and is a predicted model, not a curated record.
AUGGCGGCCGAGAGUGGUAGUGAUUCGCAGCAGAAAAGGAGAAGGCGCCGGGACCCAGAGGAAGCAGGGAAAACGGAACUCGGCGAGCGAGAACUAGCAGUGGCGGGGAGCGAAGAAAAUGAUGAUGAGAAUGAAGAGCGCUGGGUUGGGCCUUUACCGGUGGAGGCAACACUGGCCAAGAAGAGGAAAGUUUUAGAGUUCGAAAGAGUCUACCUUGAUAAUCUCCCCAGUGCAUCCAUGUAUGAGCGCAGUUACAUGCACAGAGAUGUUAUCACACAUGUGGUGUGCACCAAGACAGAUUUUAUUAUCACUGCCAGUCAUGAUGGCCAUGUUAAAUUUUGGAAAAAAAUAGAAGAAGGAAUUGAAUUUGUUAAACAUUUUCGUAGUCACCUUGGAAUUAUUGAGAGUAUUGCAGUUAGCUCUGAGGGAGCAUUGUUCUGUUCUGUGGGUGAUGAUAAAGCAAUGAAGGUGUUUGAUGUAGUGAACUUUGACAUGAUCAAUAUGCUGAAGCUUGGCUAUUCUCCUGGACAAUGUGAGUGGAUCUAUUGCCCAGGAGAUGCCAUCUCUUCAGUUGCUGCUUCCGAGAAGAGUACAGGAAAAAUUUUCAUUUAUGAUGGUCGAGGAGAUAACCAACCACUUCAUAUUUUUGACAAACUGCAUGUGUCACCUCUCACUCAAAUCAGACUAAACCCAGUUUACAGAGCAGUGGUGUCUUCUGACAAAUCUGGAAUGAUUGAGUACUGGACUGGACCUCCACAUGAAUAUAAAUUUCCUAAAAAUGUGAACUGGGAGUAUAAAACAGACACAGAUUUAUAUGAAUUUGCCAAGUGUAAGGCGUAUCCAACCAGCAUAUGCUUUUCACCUGAUGGGAAGAAAAUAGCAACCAUUGGAUCAGACAGAAAAGUUAGAAUUUUCAGAUUUUUAACCGGAAAACUCAUGAGGGUCUUUGAUGAGUCAUUAAGUAUGUUUACUGAACUGCAGCAGAUGAGGCAACAACUACCAGACAUGGAAUUUGGCCGACGAAUGGCCGUGGAACGUGAACUGGAGAAGGUGGAUGCUGUGAGAUUAAUUAAUAUCGUUUUUGAUGAAACUGGACACUUUGUGCUGUAUGGAACAAUGCUGGGCAUUAAAGUAAUAAACGUAGAAACAAAUCGGUGUGUGCGGAUCUUAGGCAAGCAAGAAAAUAUUAGAGUGAUGCAACUGGCUUUGUUUCAGGGAAUAGCCAAAAAGCAUCGAGCUGCAACUACAAUAGAGAUGAAAGCUUCUGAAAACCCUGUUCUUCAGAAUAUUCAAGCUGACCCAACAAUAGUCUGCACAUCUUUCAAAAAGAAUCGGUUUUAUAUGUUUACCAAACGAGAACCAGAAGAUACAAAAAGUGCAGAUUCUGACCGUGAUGUUUUUAAUGAGAAACCUUCUAAAGAAGAAGUCAUGGCAGCUACUCAAGCUGAAGGGCCAAAAAGAGUGUCAGAUAGUGCCAUUGUCCAUACAAGCAUGGGAGACAUUCACAUCAAACUUUUUCCUGUUGAGUGUCCCAAGACAGUGGAGAACUUCUGUGUUCACAGUAGAAAUGGUUAUUACAAUGGGCAUACAUUUCACCGUAUAAUUAAGGGCUUCAUGAUUCAGACAGGAGAUCCAACAGGUACUGGUAUGGGAGGAGAAAGCAUAUGGGGAGGAGAAUUUGAAGAUGAAUUUCACUCAACAUUACGACAUGACAGACCAUACACACUCAGCAUGGCUAAUGCUGGAUCAAAUACGAACGGAUCCCAGUUUUUCAUAACAGUGGUACCAACGCCUUGGCUUGAUAAUAAGCACACCGUGUUUGGUCGAGUGACCAAAGGAAUGGAGGUUGUACAGAGGAUUUCCAAUGUUAAAGUCAAUCCCAAGACAGAUAAGCCUUAUGAGGACGUCAGCAUCAUAAAUAUCACCGUCAAGUAAACCGUUUUGUUACAUUCACAAGUAAAGGGGACUUAGAAUACAAGACUGUUUCACAUUUGGAAGUUUAAUACUUGCUGAACAUGCAAAUCAUGUUUUAAAAGAUACAAAACUGUAUUUUUGUAUUUUUAGUUAAAGGCCAUUUUUUAAAACUGCCUUGAUUUUUUUUUUUUUUUUUUAAUAUUUCUGAUCCUGAGGGAUGACAAAUUGAAAUGCACUAAAUUAAGGCAAAUAGCAUUCCUUAUAGGAACUUAUGUGUCCUAGGCUAGCCUCUGUGUAGCUGAUGAUCUCGAGUCCUAGGAUCACAGGUACAUACCAUGAUGCCCAGCUUAUGCAGUUCUCUUAAAGCUUGAACUCAGAGCCUUGUGCGUAUGCAGGUACUCUACCACCUGACUUACAUCCCAGCCCUUAAAUUACUGAUACGUGAUCAGUUAUUGUUUUCUCCUGUAUUCUUUUUUGGAGGCAUACAGAUGUGCAUCAGUCUUCCCAGUUAUCAUUUUGUAAAAUGAGAACUUUUCUAAUGUUAUUAAAUGUUAUUAAAAAAUAAAUAACAUUUAAUAAAUGUUAUUAAAAAAUAAAUAUUUUUUAAUAUUGAGACAAGUUUUUCAAGCCCACCCCAACUCCCUUUCCUCGUGGUGAUGGCGAUAGAAUGUAGGGAGGGGCUUGUUAAGCAAGUUCUCUACCAAUGAGCCACAUCUCCAGCCCAUCAAACCACUGUAAUUAUAAUGACAGUAAUGGACCAUGUAAGUGAUCAUUUUAAAUGUUCUUUAUUCUCCUGUGAAGCAAGCUUAAAUUUAAAUCAACCUUUGAAAAUCUCAAAAUUUUUCACUUUUGUUUAUUGCUACAAUUUAGAUCUUUCAGUAUCUCCUACCUUUUGUUUAAAUGUGAUUUAUAUAGAGAAUAGCCUAUUUCUAAACCUCUGCAAUAUCAAAUAAACUCUAUCUGAAAUGUGAUAGGCAAGUCAUUCUCCACUCUUUCAGUUUCUUUUAAAAAUAGCACAAAUAAUGAAGUUUUUCUUUCUUUCUUUUUUUUUUUUCCCUGUGCUAGGGAUCAAACCGAGGUCUUCAAACAUGCUAGACAGUAGAAACAGUGUUUCUACUGUUGAGCUGUGUUGAGUUCUAAUAAUGACUUAAGUUAUUAACUAGCCUAAUGCUAGGUACACAAUUUAUUAAGCAGCUUUUAAACUAACAGAAUUCCUUUUAACUUAAACAUUUUAUUGUUUCCUAUACUGAUCAUAUAUGUAAGGGCAAAUAAUGGCUUCUGGUCACUAUAAACCAUUUCUGAAUUACAGACCAGGGCCAUACACUUGACAUAUCUGCUUUAUAUAAUUCACACAGUUAUGUAGAAAUUCAGAGAUAUAAGGCAAAUCCUAAUAUAUUGUACUUAAAACAUCUGUUGAUUCUCAAUCCUUGACAUUUCCCAGAAGAAACUAAUACAGUCUUAACAAAUGACUAAUCAAAGG